UUUCCGUAGGUGAACCUGCGGAAGGAUCAUUAACACAUCUUAAAAAACUUAUCCAAGAUUUCCUUCUUGGGUAUUUCACCCCCUCUAGCGAACUUUGUUUGGAAAUGCACCGUUCAAUGGCCAUUUCCGCUUUUUUUCCUUUUUUUUUUUAAACAAACAAACCCCAUUGAAAAUUUUGACUGAAAUUAUUUUUCUUAUCGAAAGAUUCGAAAAUACACAUUGAAAAUGUUGAAACAACUCUUAACAACGGAUAUCUUGGCUCUC
Molecule: unclassified non-coding RNA, 264 nt
Filed under: plant metagenome
Description: partial contains small subunit ribosomal RNA, internal transcribed spacer 1, and 5.8S ribosomal RNA
Source: RNAcentral